UUGGGCCACGGUAGUGUUGGAGCCCUUGUUUGAAUACUGACAUUUUAAUCAUAGUUACACCGACGUUGACCAAUUAUCGGGGAAGCAACGUUUCUGACGCAAAUCCGUGAGCCCAUUUGAUUCCUUGGUCGAUUUUUUAUACCGAGUAUUUAAGCCAUUUCCAUUUUUCUCCCAUUUUAAUUACUUUGCAGAAAUUUUCAUCGUGGUCAGUUUUUUACUUUGUAGACUCAGUACUUUUCUGCUGACAAAAAAGGUAAACGAAUAUGGCCAGAAGAACCAUCUCCACCACCCACUUAUUUCCGGGCUAGAGGCAUCCCCCUCCUCUCUAUUUUGUUUACCUGUAUUUCUGCCCUGCUACCCAGGGAUAUGAUUUGCAGUAUGAUUCGUCUCCCAGGGUUUCGUUUCUCUUUUUUUUUUUUUUUUUUUUUUUUUUUGCCAUAUAA
Molecule: long non-coding RNA, 443 nt
Filed under: Homo sapiens (human)
Lineage: Eukaryota; Metazoa; Chordata; Mammalia; Primates; Hominidae
Description: non-protein coding lnc-SRPRA-4:1
Source: RNAcentral